GUUAUCUCCCUUGUCAGUGAACGAACGAAUGUACGAACUGGAUCAGUAUGUAAUUGGCCCAAAGAGGUAAAUUUGUUGUGUUUUUUGUAUUGUGCGGAUAUUGUGCUUGAUUCAUAUGUCAUUCGAAUAUAUUUUCUGUUUAUUUUGACUGUUUUAAUAAGGUUGUUUUCAUUUUUUUCUUUGUAGUUUUUCACGUAAACUUCGAACUUAGUACGAGGGUACCUGCGACACUAUGCAGUCUAUUGUAUUGUGUAUUAUUCAUCAAAUGCGUCUUAUAACAAUAAACAAGUAGAAUUUAUUGGACUUGAACUUUGAGACCCAAC
RNAcentral lists this long non-coding RNA (323 nucleotides) under Mytilus galloprovincialis (Mediterranean mussel). The record is from RNAcentral. Lineage: Eukaryota; Metazoa; Mollusca; Bivalvia; Mytilida; Mytilidae.